AUAAUACCCAUAUAAAAUAAACAAUUAAUUAACAACUAAUGUAUAAUUAACUAGACGAAAAGUAAAACUAAUCAAAUUAGUUUAAUUUUUUUAAGUAAAAAUUAAACUAAUUAUCAAUAAAUUAACAAUACCCCAAUUAAUUAAUUAAAUAAGAAUACCAAGUAAAAUAAUCAAUUUAACAAUACCCAUAAAAUUUAAACAAUUAAUUAACAAGAAUAAAAGUAAAAUAAUUAAAUUAACAACAAA
This 246-nucleotide unclassified non-coding RNA is filed under the name Hevea brasiliensis (rubber tree). Lineage: Eukaryota; Viridiplantae; Streptophyta; Magnoliopsida; Malpighiales; Euphorbiaceae. The record is from RNAcentral.